Non-coding RNA from Pelobates cultripes (western spadefoot toad), 3436 nucleotides. NCBI's taxonomy places the organism in Eukaryota, Metazoa, Chordata, Amphibia, Anura, Pelobatidae. The record is from the annotation of a GenBank genome assembly.
AUAUAUAUAUAUAUAUAUAUAUAUAUAUAUUUGGGUGUAUACAUAUAUUAAGUUUUAUACAUUGAUUUACUUUUUUGGGUUCAUUUUGUGUGUGUGGAAACACAAAGUAAUAUUUUAUCUUGCUAGUUGUGAGGUAAAAUUGCAGAUCCAACUUUUCAAUGAAUUAGUAAUUAAAAAACAUUAUUUUGUAAUGCCUGUGCCAAUUAAUGGGUUAACCACUGAGCUGGUAAAUAAAGCUCUUUUUGGAAUUGUGUGACACCGCCAAAUAUCCACAUGCAUGUGAUUGUAAGGCUUUCUAUUUGCUGCUAUGUGAUCUGUGCUGAUUUAACGAUCCCCUCAGACUUCUUUUUUUUUUUUCUUUUUUUAAUGUUCCAUUUUGUGUGGUUGUUGGGAAAACAAGCUAAAAAUAGACUACAAGUACUUUGUCAUUCCUUUUUGAUUAGCUAUUUAAUGACUGCAGGACCUCAUCUGUGCUUUAAUUACCAGUUCAUUUAAGCAAAUGAAGCAAGCUGGCUUCAGACUUCCUGUGUGCUUUGUAAUGCAAUGUCUGUGUUUAAAUCGGGGUUGGACAAUCUGUUUCCCUCAAACUGUUGAAGCACAACCAACCAUAUCACUCUUGUCUUGCCUCAAGCUAUUUCAGAGUGAUGGGAGUUGUAAUUGUGGUUACCCAAGUUGCUACCGCUCAGCACGGGUUUUCAUUUUAAAAAAGUGUGUACAUGAAUAUCAAUGAUUUGGCAAUGCCAAAGUUUGACAAAUGUUUGUAUAAUUUAAGAGACAGACAUACCUGUUUAAGAGCCAAGUCUGACUUUUCAUUUUGCAGCUAAGGAAGGGUUCAUCAGCCGAGUUCCAUAUAAAAUACUCUACGUUUAAGCUCCACGAGUAUAUGUUUUUGAGCAGGGCUCCUGGGUUUGCCAAUUCCUUUUUUAGUGUAUUACAAACACUUAUUGACUGCUAUAUGUGACCGUUAGAGAUGCUACCUCGGCCAUGUUAUUACAAACAGGUAUGAGUUCCACGUGAUCUUGUGGGUGCAUGACCAGCAGUUUCUCUAGAAUUCACAUGUUGCUGGAGGUAAUCACGCAACCACUUUGUUGCACCAGCUCCACAAUCCAAAAUACAGCUGUUAGAUUAACACUAAUUACCAGUUUACAAAAAAAUGCUGUGACUGCUUUGGUAAGCACUAUACCUGUUUAUAUAAAUAUCAAACCCUCGAAUGCCAAUUUUGUAAAAAAAAAAAAUAUUUAUGCAAUGAAUCCCUAUAGUAGUUUCUUGAAGUUAUUUUUUAAAAACUUUUUUUUACCUAAUCCGUCUUUUCCAACCAGAUAUAUUUAAUGCUCUAGACUAAAAUUGUAAUAAAGUAUAGACCUUUUUAUGUUUUGAAAAGAACAAACCACAUCGAUGCCAACAGUGGAACUGUAAUGUACAGCUGCUGGUAAAUAGAAUAUUCUGAGAGAAAUGGACUUACAUGGUGGUCUAUUUGUGACAUCAUGUGGCAUUACCUGCAAAUAGAUUGCUAUGAUGCAGCACAAUUAAUUUGCAUAAUGCAACAAAUGGUGAUGCAGUUUGUGAACAGGAACAGUAUUUUAAAUAUUGUACAGAUUUGUUUUUUUUUCUUCUGCUUGAAAGUCUGCUGGCACAGUGUAUAGAAAUGUUUUAUGAUCUUCUUUCACAUUAUUCAGGUGACAGAUUCCCUUUUAUAAAAAUUUGUGUUUACCUUGGGUCAAUAUAGCCAUAUGGGUGAUAUAUUGCUGUAAAACGAAAACAAAACAAGUGUGUGUGUGUGUGUGUAUAUAUAUAUAUAUAUAUAUAUUACAACUGUCUCCCUAUCCAUUUACAGAAAAAUAUUACUAAAGACUUUUUUAUUUUUUUUUUUUUUUUUUUAAUUUUGUAUCUUCAAAUCUUUCACAAGGUGUGUCUGUAGAAGAGAUUGUGCUUUAAUCUGUGAACCAAAUUAGAAUGUGCUUUACUUGUCAGGGCUUUUGAACGCAGAUCAGCAUGCUAGUUGAUUGCUUGUGAACUCACUUGGCUUGUCCUUGCUGCUUCACUAAAUGAAGAGAAAGCUGUCUACACUCAUGCAAGCACAUAGUGCCUAUAUGAUGGCUUGUGUCAGCAUUGAUCCCAUGCAGGCCUUUUGUGCCUCACUACAAAGAAAGACUGGUAAAUGUGCUAGGAUGUGGAAUCAUAGAAAGUAUGUAUGUGUGUGUGUGUAUAAAAUAUAUUUAUAGCUCCCCAAGCCAUGGGAUUUAAUCACAUUUUUUAUAUAUAUAUUUAACCAUGGACAUAAAUUAGGAUUACUUGAGCUUUAAGGAGAAGGGGUUUACACAAAUGUUAGUUACAGUCUACUAUAUCUAUGUGGUCUUAACCUAAAGAGUGUUUGCCUUAGUGUUUGUGUCAACAGGGUUGUAGUAACAUCCAAAAUCCAGUAGGGGUCAACAUGUAAAUUCACUAUAUAGAAGAAACCCUUUUCACUACAAAGCUUAAUAAUAAAGGGAGUAUUUUUUUUUUUUCUUUCUACGAUGAACCUUUGCCAUCCUAAUUCUUGUAGUCAGAGCGAAUAGUUUUGGUUAUAAUGAUUCUGAAAUUUACAUCACUUUUUUGAGAUAUUUGAUAUUCCAUCAGCAGAAGUCAUUGCAAGGAAUACUUGUCAUUAUGCUGCCCUCUAUCAUAGUAUAAACGGCUCUCAUUUUAUUUUUGGAUCCUGCAUUUCUGAUUUAAAAAAAAAAAAAAAAAAAAUCCAUUUAAUGAAAGUGCUGCUUUAACUCUCUGAAUGCUGGACGGGUCUACAAAGCAACAUUCCUCAAUAGCUAUAUAUAUAUAUAUAUAUAUAUAUAUAUAUAUAUAUAUAUAUAAAAAUUAUAUUCUCCCUCCCUGGUUAAUUGGUUGCUUUGCAAUAUGUCUUUUUUUUUCUUUUUCUCUUGUAAUUUAAAUAAUUUAGUAAUCCUAUAUAGUUGGUCAGAGUUUAAAUGAAUAGAGGUGUUUUAUUUUUAAUUUAUAUUUUAUCGAGACAUUGUAUAUAUUGGUAUGUUUAAAAAAAAUAAAAAUAUUUCUAUAUCUACAGCAUAUUUAUUUAUGACAGAAAAGUACACUUACUCCACUGAUAUUCUGCAGCACAGUGGAUGGCAGAGUAUUUGUUUCCUCCAAGCUACAAAAUAUUUUAAUAAUUUUUCUGGUUAACAGCUUUGAUAAUAUGUGCAGACCAUGCCUUUUUCACAUUACAGUGUGUGUUUUGAAAAGGCUUAUUGGCUUUUUGAAAGCAAUCUGUAUUUAAAUUGUUGAUAACAUUUUUCCUGCCACAAAAUAUAUAUGUCUAAGAAAUUCAAUGUUGAUAUAAAUAUUGUUUUAAGACCGGUCUUUCAAUUUAAACAUUUUUUUUCAAGCCUUUGUUCUUGUUACUAUGGUAGACUUGUGUUGCUAAUAAAAUGUUGUUGGUAAAAAAAAA